RNAcentral lists this ribosomal RNA (271 nucleotides) under uncultured anaerobic ammonium-oxidizing bacterium. RNAcentral's name for it is "partial 16S ribosomal RNA". It matches the Rfam family "Bacterial small subunit ribosomal RNA", at positions 565 to 834 of the family's 1533-position model. The record is from RNAcentral.
GAGCACGUAGGUGGGUUUGUAAGUCAGAUGUGAAAGCCUUCUGUUCAACGGAAGAAUUGCAUCUGAAACUACAAACCUUGAGUGUAGGAGGGGAGAAUGGAACUUCUGGUGGAGCGGUGAAAUGCGUAGAUAUCAGAAGGAACGCCGGCGGCGAAAGCGAUUCUCUGGCCUAUUACUGACACUGAGUGUGCGAAAGCUAGGGGAGCAAACGGGAUUAGAUACCCCGGUAGUCCUAGCCGUAAACGAUGGGCACUAAGUAGAGGGGUUUUAA